This 449-nucleotide ribosomal RNA is filed under the name uncultured bacterium. RNAcentral describes it as "partial 16S ribosomal RNA". It matches the Rfam family "Bacterial small subunit ribosomal RNA", at positions 29 to 523 of the family's 1533-position model. The record is from RNAcentral.
AGCGAACGCUGGCGGCAGGCCUAACACAUGCAAGUCGAACGGAUCCUUCGGGAUUAGUGGCGGACGGGUGAGUAACACGUGGGAACGUGCCCUUUGGUUCGGAACAACUCAGGGAAACUUGAGCUAAUACCGGAUGUGCCCUUCGGGGGAAAGAUUUAUCGCCAUUGGAGCGGCCCGCGUCGGAUUAGCUAGUUGGUGGGGUAAAGGCCCAACAAGGCGACGAUCCGUAGCUGGUCUGAGAGGAUGAUCAGCCACAUUGGGACUGAGACACGGCCCAAACUCCUACGGGAGGCAGCAGUGGGGAAUCUUGCGCAAUGGGCGAAAGCCUGACGCAGCCAUGCCGCGUGAAUGAUGAAGGUCUUAGGAUUGUAAAAUUCUUUCACCGGGGACGAUAAUGACGGUACCCGGAGAAGAAGCCCCGGCUAACUUCGUGCCAGCCGCCGCGGUAA